UAAAAAUUACUUAAUUAAAUUAAUUACUUGAUGUACCAACCAUCUUUGGUCUACUAAUUAUGUACAACAAUAUCCUCAAAACACUUGAUCUAUAUUUCGUGUGCUUGGGUUAGAAUAGAAGUUUUCACUCUAAAAGCUUAAGAAACUUGAAGUAAAAUCACCGCCCAUUUUUAAGUAAAUUUUAAUAUCGCAAAAACUAAAUAUUUGGAACUGGUUUCGGUAUAAAGCAUUUACAAGAGAACUUUUUAAUGCAGAUUAGGAAAUUGAACUUUCAUUCCGUUCAAAUGCUGUUUUGGUUCACAAAUUUAGUACCUUGCUUGCCUUGGCGAGGUUUACUCCUAUUUAGCCGUAUAAUUCCGUAGUUAUCGUAGUCACACGUGUUACCUUACAACUGUGCUCUUUAAAUAGGGUUUAAAGAAAUACGAGAAUUUCAUGAAAUCUAUAACAUUCCUAUUUUCCAGAUAAUAGUGCGAUGAUAAGUAUUAUUGUGGUUUUUCUGUUUAAAGAUUUCAACCCUCAUCAACACUCCAUAGAUGUUCCAUUGCCCGACUAUAGAGAGGUGCAAAUAGCAAUUACUCGCCUGAGGAACAACAAAGCGGCAGUGACCAAUGGAUUGCCGACCGAGCUAUUCAAAUACUUCGGCGAAGAACUGACAAGGUGAAUGCAUCAGCUUCUUUACAGGAUAUAGUGGGAUGAAAUCAUACUCGACGAUUGGAGACUAAGUGUGCGCUGCCCAAUCCACAAAAUGGGGGAUUCCACAAUCUGCGCCAAUUACCGUGGUAUAAGCCUCUUUAAUUUCGCAUAUAAGGUCUUAUCGAGCGUGGAGUGUGAAAGACACAACGUCACCGAACUGAUUGGACCUUAUCAGUGUGGCGUUAGACCAGGAAAAUCUACUAUCGACCGUUAGUUCCUUUCUCCAGAAGGGAAGGAAGCGAAGCGUAUGGGUCUGGUUGUAAAUGAGGACAAGACGAAAUUUCUCCUGUCAUCAAACAAACAAUCAUCGCAAUCGCGGCUUGAUUCACACGUCAUUGUUAAGAUUCAUAACUAUGAAGUCGCAUCUUAGAAUCAGUGCCACGUUGUACUGAGUAAAUAAUUGAAAAGUAAAGUCCGACCUCGACUAACAAAGACCUCUACUCCGUUGGAGAGAUCAGGUGGAGGAGGACCUGGCUGCACUUGGUAUCUCAAAUUGGCGCAAAAAGAAGAAACGACUGUCGAGCUAUUGUCAACUCAGA
Long non-coding RNA from Bactrocera neohumeralis, 1232 nucleotides. RefSeq lists it as uncharacterized. The record is from RefSeq and is a predicted model, not a curated record. The transcript is spliced from 2 exons. Lineage: Eukaryota; Metazoa; Arthropoda; Insecta; Diptera; Tephritidae.